GGAUGCGAUCAUACCAGCACUAAAGCACCGGAUCCCAUCAGAACUCCGAAGUUAAGCGUGCUUGGGCGAGAGUAGUAACUAGGAUGGGGUGACCUGCCUGGGAAGUCCCUUCGUGUUGCAUUCC
Molecule: ribosomal RNA, 124 nt
Filed under: Sorghum bicolor (sorghum)
Lineage: Eukaryota; Viridiplantae; Streptophyta; Magnoliopsida; Poales; Poaceae
Source: RNAcentral